GGAUGUGAGGACGAUCUGGAUGUGACAUCACCCCAUUGAUCACCAGGGUUGAUUCAGCUGAUCUGGCUGGGUAGGCAGGUGUCCCCCUCCUCCCUCACCAAUCCAUGUGCCAUGUGCGCCCCUCCCAAAGCUGUGCCCUGAUUGAAGAAGACGACCUUCCUCCCAGAAGAGAAGACUGGUCUUUGGUCAAGGGUACAUGAGUAGCAGCACUCCCCUGCUAGAACCUCCAAAUGAGCUCUUAAGUCCUCUAACUCUGAAGACUAUAAAUCCUCUUAAGGGGAAAUAAUAUCUAAAUAGUCUGCCAAGAACUACUUAUGAUGCUUCUACUCAAAUUCAGUUCUUGCUGACUUUU
Myotis davidii is the source of this 352-nucleotide non-coding RNA. NCBI's taxonomy places the organism in Eukaryota, Metazoa, Chordata, Mammalia, Chiroptera, Vespertilionidae. The record is from Rfam.